CUUCUCUUCUUAGUGCCUGGCUCACCUUCGCCGGGGAGCUUCCUCUUCCUGGAAAAUCUUCAGUUGCCACAAACCCACAAGGAGCAGCUCGGCCAUCUAAAGGUGAGGUUGCUAAAGAUGCCCGAGUUCUUCUGCAUUUUGGUGCCUGCAUGGAAAUGAAGCAUCUGAAAACUUGACCGCUACUGUGAAUGCUGAAGGUCAUGAGGAAAACACUGCUGGAUUUUGGUGAUGAAAGUCUCUCUCCAAACAAUUACUUCUCUGAGGGUCGUGAGAAGGAUUAGAUGCUUUUGCAACCAACUAUAUAUUUACUUUCAAGAGAACCUGUAUGCAGCUGCAACCCAAAGACAGCACCUCUGUUGCUAUGAGGCUCUACUGGAGUUUUAACCUCUUUUUGGAAGGAAAAACCCCAAACAGGAGAGCUCACACUGGUUGUUCACAGGAUUUAUAGAUGUUAUGACAAAAUAAAUGUGUCAAAUCUGUACAAGGUGUUUGAAUAAAGACAUGAGGGAAAUGUUUUCAGCCAGUCCAGUAAAAAUUUGGUUCCGCAUUUGACCCUAAUGCACUUUCAGGACUGGUAGGAUUACAGGCAGGUACCCUUAAGAGAGCAGAACACUACUAUUUCUGAACUAAAAAAAUAAUUGAAGUUCUCUAGUGACAUUGCCCACCUUAAUUUACUGAUGAUGUUCAAAAGUAAAUAGGCAACAACCAUAGGCAGACAGGUUCCACUCUCAUGGGCACCUGUGAGUGAGAAGAAUUACCCUGUGCUGUUUGAUGUAUAACCCAGCCAGGUUCCAGUGUGAAUAUCGUCCUUUUGACAUUAUCCUCAAACCUGCAUGCGGGACAUUUAAAACAUUGCUGCCCCUGUGAAGAUGUCACAAGGAUAAAUUGGUUGAUGUAAGUCUUCUGCUUGUGCCUACAGAGUUUUAAAAUCCUUUUGAUUUCUAUAAGCAUAUUUCACUGGGAGUGCGGUGCGCUUGGUAAAGCUAAUUCAGCAGAGGACCUUUCCUAAAGUUGUUUUUUGCAUUGACACCCAAAAAUUUCAUUGCUUUUUGCUGCUCCCCAGGGAUGAAUUACCUGCACUUACCUUGACUAAUAUUGUUUCUCUUACAAAGAGAGUGUGAUAAUCACUUAUUUGGACAGAGUAGAAUAACAGUUGCGUGCAGACUUCAUGAGGAAA
Molecule: long non-coding RNA, 1177 nt
Organism: Falco peregrinus (peregrine falcon)
Lineage: Eukaryota; Metazoa; Chordata; Aves; Falconiformes; Falconidae
Exons: 3
Source: RefSeq, a predicted model, not a curated record